GGGGAGAGGGCCCGGGAGAGAUGGGCCUGAAGACUAGUGGCCUCCUCAAGAGCCAUGCCACACACAUGGAUGUCAGAGCCCACACUGAUGCAGGCAGCAAGGGGUGAGGCUGCACAAACUCCUGCACAUGCACAUGAGCCUGCAGAAUUCCAGCCCAAAGCCAAAGAAACAAAGCACAAAGGCCCAUGUGGUUAACUUCAGCUCCAGUCACAGCAGCAAAAGGCUGAGGUUACAGCCCACAGGCCUGCACCUCCACCAUCUCUGCCAGUUGGCCCCGCUAGCUUGAGGUGGGACACAGCUUAUGCCCAGGGCCAUCCAGCGAGGUGGGCUCCUCUGAGGGUAUCUGGCCAUCACAGCCCUGGUCUGCAGCUUGUGACCCUGCCUGGCCCCAUCCUCUGCAACAGCGGGCAGCAGAGUUCAGCUGCUGCACGUGGGCAGGCCAGACCCUGGCUGGAACCCUGCAGCUCCUUGGUCUGUCCUGGGGUGGUCCUGACGCCUUCCCAGGUGUCAGCAGGGCCCCUGGGUGCUGGACAAAGUGGGCCACAGCUGGACACACUGCAUGACACUGGCCCUGGCUGCCCCUGGACUGGAGCCUGCCCCUGGUGGGCAUGGUGACACCAGGCGUAGUCACUCAACACACCAAGGCAAAGGCCUUGCCUUUCCUCCUUGGCCUUUGUCUAACUCAUGGCUCUGCCCAGGAUAGCCCUGGAACACAAGGCCACCCCAGUGCCCAGCAGGACAGGCCCUGCCUCCUCUGGCUCUGACAGCCCACAAAGGACACAAGCCUGCCAUGUCCUCAUGUUGGCUAGGCACCAGGCCUGAGCUGCAGCCUCCCCAGUGUCAGAUGUGCUGCCUGCCUCACGCUGUCCCCAGGAGGGCACAGGCCCAGGUCCUCUGCUCUUCAGUACCCAUGUCUGUCAACUGCAAGUGGACACAGUGCCCCUUCUGGGCAACAGGGGGAAUGACCCAUGCGGGGCUCUGGCUGCUGCUACUCCAAGACCGUGUCUUCCUGCUAUGGUGUGCACGGGGCUCAGCCUCCUCUGCAGCACAGGCCAAAAGGGGCUGACGCAGGACUCCAGCACAGGCCAGCUCCAGCCCUUCUCACAAGUUGAAGCUCAUGAAGCGGGGUGAAGAGGCCCUCACCCUGGAGCUCCCACCACCACCCGAGGUCCUGGGCUUGCAGUCUCCACCUCCUCACCCCAAGUGCCUCUGUCCCACAACCUUGAAGGCAUCUGGGGAUGGAGGAAGGGGCAGCAGGUGUGGCUCUAGGGAUGUGGGCAUGGCUGGCUUCCACCUCCCCGAGCUCCAGUUUCCCCGUCUUCCAAAUGGGAGAGUUUGGAACCUUAAAGGGCUGAGAGCUGUGCUAUCCAUCUCUGCUGCACUAUUUAACUUAGAUUCAGGUUAAUAAAAAGGCAACCUCCGCUGCACCAGA
This is a long non-coding RNA of Chinchilla lanigera (long-tailed chinchilla), 1432 nucleotides long. RefSeq lists it as uncharacterized. The transcript has 2 exons. The record is from RefSeq and is a predicted model, not a curated record. Lineage: Eukaryota; Metazoa; Chordata; Mammalia; Rodentia; Chinchillidae.